Myiozetetes cayanensis is the source of this 2975-nucleotide long non-coding RNA. RefSeq lists it as uncharacterized. The transcript is spliced from 3 exons. Lineage: Eukaryota; Metazoa; Chordata; Aves; Passeriformes; Tyrannidae. The record is from RefSeq and is a predicted model, not a curated record.
GCCGUGCUGGCGGUACCCCGGGAGCAGGGCCUAGCGCUGGGCCUGAGCCCCCUGCGGGGCCGGGUGCACCCCGAGGAGAACGGCUGUCCUCUCUGCUACUGCUGCCCCUCACCAGACAUUCCCAGCCCUUACCCUGUUUCCCGCGUUCUCUGCUCAGCAAAGAACAGCCCCUACUCCCAAUCACUGAGGCUGAUAACAAGACUGGAAACUGGCAGGAAUGCCUUGGGAAAGAACAGGGAGCUGCUAGAGUAUUACCAGAAGGUUUCUGAAGAUAAAGCAAAUGUUGUUGGACACGGCUUUGAAGGGACUGCCAUGCUUUAAAAAAUGUGGGAAAACAACAACAAAACAAGGGAAGGAGAACUACCAACUUGUGCUUGUGUUCCUGCCUCCAACCUGGUCUUAAGAGACAAACAGCCUUACAUAUUUCCACACUGCCUCCUAGAUUCCCCUCUUUCUUCCUCCCCACUGGUCUCCACUUGCCAUUCGUCUCAUCUCAGCCUCUCCUACUUUACCCCAGCCCCCUUUCAUGACUCCCACCCAAGCUACUCCUCAAGCCUUUUGACUUAAAUUUCUUAUUUGAGUUUCCUAACACUUAUAUACAGCUCUCUACCAUAGUAUUUGAGAUCCAGUUGUUCCCUGCCUACCCUCUCCCCACACUCAGAUGGGUGCACAUGAGCAUCUGUCCUUAUCUCCCUGAGACACCUGGCUGUAGAUGAUCCUUGCCAGCAGAGCCCUUGCCUUGCCAGAUCUCCCAACAAAGCCCCUCCUCUGGCAUGACUUUUAAAAACCUGUAUGUGGGCUGUGCUUAAAUAAGAUCCACCCAGAGAGGAGAAACUGCUGGUAUGUUUAAGAAAAACUCGCCCUGGGAUAUUGCUAACCAAGCAAUGCCCACUUCUAGAUAAAAUGCAGAAUGUGGAAUUUUCAAAGGUACUGAGUUUUUCAUAGUGAGGGCUGCCAAACAGCUGUGCAAAACUUAAAAAAAAAAAAAAAGGAAAAGAGGAAAGUGGUGUUUGUAUGUACAUGCAAUGCCCAUGAUGAGUUGUACCUGCCCUGUAUAGCACAUAAACAAGUAGCAGAUAUAUGAGAUUUAGCAAAGCUUGAACUGCAGGUCCUCAAUCGUAUGCAGCAAGUGUGCUCCAAGGGGAAGUCAUUCUGCUCCAGACAGUGGAGCAAUAUUGGGCGCAGUGUUUGGGACAAACAUCCCAAGUGCCAAGGGGAAGGGGGUGAGUGGUGAGAUAUACCAGCAGUUGGGCUUGUUGAAUACUGCUGAACUAGGAGAUGAGCUGACCCACCAUGUAUUUUGAGGACAUUCCCAGGACACUACGUUGCCUCCAGGAAAUAAAAGCGCUUUUACAGCUCCUCUGGGAGACAGUGGCUUGGGAGAGGAGACCCCUGGCCUGCUGCCAAGCACCGUCUGGCAAAGGGCAUCCAAUGAGAUCAUGAGGGCUAAUUCGGCUGCAUGAUGAACUAUUUCGGCUGCCCGCCUCACUGCAGGCUCAAAGCACGCUCUGAGAGAGUUUUAUUCAAGAAAGGGUUUUAUUUCCAACAACGCAACCCCCGCCGUUCGCUGACGGGGAGCGACAUGGCGGCGGCUCGCAAGGCCCGCUGGGAGCUGUAGUCCGGCGCGGGCCGGGGCCGCUCCCGCGUUCCGCAGGGAAGGGGGAUCAAGGUCUCCCAAAGAGGAGGAUUUCCUGCCUCGUCCCUUCCCGCGCAGCGCUCUGGGGAACACCGAGGAUUAGGCUGUCCGGGUAAGAAGGGUACCCGCGCUGGCAGGCGGACCGGUGCCUGCCCACCGUCUGUUCUGUCCAGAGCUUUCACUGCCCCGGUGCGCGUAACCCCAGUUUUCCCCUGUCUGCUGUUACCAGGCAUCUACUUAUACACCUGCAGCCCAAAAAGAAAGGUGACAGCACCCUAAAGACAUACCCAGUUAGUCCGGCAAGAUGUAAUAUGCAUACUGGGUUGGUUGCCGUUGCUUGCCCCCGCACUGAUUUCCAUGAUUUUGGCUGGGGUCAGUGUUGGGGUGGCAGGUGUGUAUUUACCUGGGCCACCUGAGCUGCUCCGGUGCUCAGCCCGCACACGCUGCAGGGGGAGGCACGUCAGCUGAGGGCAGCAGAGACAAGUGCUGCUUUUAUGAACUACAGUGUUAUUCUACUUCUAAAUCCUGGUGAAACUUCAACUUAUACGUGAGAGAGUAAGAGACUUUAAGUUAUACUUAAAUAAUCUACAUUUUUUUUUUAAUCCCUGCAAUUAGUUUUUCUUUAAAAUCCCUCCUUCAUUCUUUCAGGAUGGAAAAGGUGAGCAGAAACUUUUCAGCAUUCUGAGGGUAUUUUGGCUUUAAGAGGCUCUCAUCACAUUGCCCAGAUUGGAAUCCCUUAAAAGUGUAUAACUUGCUUCCUAAACUUUUAUUCAACAGCCAUCAUCUGAACGUUCUCAUGUAUGCUUUGCUUGUUAGGAAACAAAAUUAUUUGUUUUGGCGUUGAUCAGGGCAAGAUGAUACACUAUUUCGGGCAGAGUGACAUUCUUCUUUUUUCCCACUCAUUUUUCACAAGUAAUUAUAACCAGUAGUUUUGAUAUUAGGAUCAUGGAAAUUUUCCCAUUAAUAUUAUGGGACACUCAGAGGAAGCAGAGGACAUCUACAGUGAGCGGAGGAGGAGGCAGUUAGAAUCCAAGCACAGCUCAUGAGAAAGAGACAAUAAUUGUUCAAAGAAUAUUGUACUGCAUAACAAUCCUGCUGGAUUGCAGCACAGAGAACACAACUUCCAUGUGUGUGGCUGCACAUUUAAUGAGGCAAUAACCCAGUUGUUCUCUUUCUGAAGUUAAUAAAGAAUAGCCUGAAAACCAACAUAAUGCUAUCCUUGAUUUUUUGAGGUGAUCCUCAAAAAGCUCAAAGCUCCUUUAAUACAGAGAACAUACUUCUUCAGUAUCUUUGAACUAUAUAUAGAGUUAUAUAGAAAUAAUAAACUAUUUGCUUAAUU